Molecule: ribosomal RNA, 1473 nt
Filed under: uncultured Bordetella sp.
Lineage: Bacteria; Pseudomonadati; Pseudomonadota; Betaproteobacteria; Burkholderiales; Alcaligenaceae
Description: partial 16S-23S ribosomal RNA intergenic spacer
Rfam family: Bacterial small subunit ribosomal RNA
Source: RNAcentral
UUCGAUUCUGGCUCAGAUUGAACGCUGGCGGGAUGCUUUACACAUACCAAGUCGAACGGCAGCACGGACUUCGGUCUGGUGGCGAGUGGCGAACGGGUGAGAGUAAUGUAUCGGAACGUGCCUAAUGGCGGGGGAUAACUACGCGAAAGCGUAGCUAAUACCGCAUACGCCCUUCGGGAAAGCGGGGACCGCUGGGCCUCCGCUAAUGAAACGGCCGAUAUCGGAUUAGCUAGUUGGUGGAGUAACGGCUCACCAAGGCGACGAUCCGUAGCUGGUUUGAAGAGGACGACCAGCCACACUGGGACUGAGACACGGCCCAGACUCCUACAGGAGGCAGCAGUGGGGGAAUUUUGGACAAUGGGGAAACCUGAUCCAGCCAUCCCGCGUGUGCGAUGAAGGCCUUCGGGUUGUAAGCACUUUUGGCAGGAAAGAAACGGCACGGGAUAAUACCCCGUGCAACUGACGACCACCUGCAGAAUAAGCACCGGCUAACUACGUGCCAGCAGCCGCGGUAAUACGUAAAGGUGCAAGCGUUAAUCGGAAUUACUGGGCGUAAAGCGUGCGCAGGCGGUUCGGAAAAGAAAAGGUAAAUCCAAGGCUUAACUUUGGAACUGUUUUUAACUACCGAGCUAGAGUGUGUCAGAAGGGGAGGUGGAGAUUCCGCGUGUAGCAGUGAAAUGCGUAGAUAUGCGGAGGAACACCGAUGGCGAAGGCAGCCUCCUGGGAUAACACUGACGCUCAUGCACAGCGUGAGGCAAACAGGAUUAGAUACCUGGUAGUCACGCCUAAACGAUGUCAACUAGCUGUUGGGGCCUUCGGGCCUUGGUAGCGCAACUAACGCGUGAGAUUGACCGCCUGGGAAGUACGGUCGCAAGAUUAAAACUCAAGGAAUUGACGAGAGGAUGCCACAAGCGGUGGAUGAUGUGGAUUAAUUCGAUGCAACGCGAAAAACCUUACCUACCCUUGACAUGUCUGGAAUCCGGGUGCGGGAGUGCUCGCAAGAGAACCGGAACUGCAGGUGCUGCAUGGCUGUCGUCAGCUCGUGUCUCGUGAGAUGUUGGGUUAAGUCCCGCAACAGGCGCAGCCCUUGUCAUUAGUUGCUACGAAAGGCAUAAGCCAAGGACUGCCGGUGACAAACCGGAGGAAGGUGGGGAUGACGUCAAAUUCAUCAAUAUAGCCUUCAUGGGUAGGGCUUCACGUCGUCGUGGGAUCGGGACAGGGGUCGCCAACCCGCGAGGGGGAGCCAAUCCCAGAAACCCGAUCGUAGUCCGGAUCGCAGUCUGCCGCUCGGCGACGCGUGAAGUCGGAAUCGCUGGUAAUCGCGGAUCAGCAUGUCGCAGACCGUUCCCGGGUCGCUGUACACACCGCCCGUCACACCAUGGGUGGGGUUUACCAGAAGUAGUUAGCCUAACCGUAAGGAGGGCGAUUACCACGGUAGGAUUCAUGACUGGGGUGAAGUCAUUAACAAGGUAA